GUAUUGCCUCAGUAGCGGCGAGUGAAGCGGCAAGAGCUCAGAUUUGAAAUCGUGCUUUGCGGCACGAGUUGUAGAUUGCAGGUUGGAGUCUGUGUGGAAGGCGGUGUCCAAGUCCCUUGGAACAGGGCGCCCAGGAGGGUGAGAGCCCCGUGGGAUGCCGGCGGAAGCAGUGAGGCCCUUCUGACGAGUCGAGUUGUUUGGGAAUA
Molecule: ribosomal RNA, 206 nt
Filed under: Pichia kudriavzevii
Lineage: Eukaryota; Fungi; Ascomycota; Pichiomycetes; Pichiales; Pichiaceae
Description: partial 26S ribosomal RNA
Rfam family: Eukaryotic large subunit ribosomal RNA
Source: RNAcentral